GCACAAGCGGUGGAGCAUGUGGUUUAAUUCGAUGCAACGCGAAGAACCUUACCAGGAUUUGACAUCCCCCUGACCGGUGUAGAGAUACCACCUUCCCUUCGGGGCAGGGGUGACAGGUGGUGCAUGGUUGUCGUCAGCUCGUGUCGUGAGAUGUUGGGUUAAGUCCCGCAACGAGCGCAACCCCUAUUGUUAGUUGCCAUCAUUCAGUUGGGCACUCUAGCGAGACUGCCGGUAAUAAACCGGAGGAAGGUGGGGAUGACGUCAAAUCAUCAUGCCCCUUAUGACCUGGGCUACACACGUGCUACAAUGGUUGGUACAACGAGUUGCGAGUCGGUGACGGCGAGCUAAUCUCUUAAAGCCAAUCUCAGUUCGGAUUGUAGGCUGCAACUCGACUACAUGAAGUCGGAAUCGCUAGUAAUCGCGAAUCAGAAUGUCGCGGUGAAUACGUUCUCGAGUCUU
RNAcentral lists this ribosomal RNA (459 nucleotides) under uncultured Streptococcus sp. RNAcentral describes it as "bacterial SSU rRNA". It matches the Rfam family "Bacterial small subunit ribosomal RNA", at positions 923 to 1382 of the family's 1533-position model. Lineage: Bacteria; Bacillati; Bacillota; Bacilli; Lactobacillales; Streptococcaceae. The record is from RNAcentral.